Molecule: ribosomal RNA, 436 nt
Rfam family: Bacterial small subunit ribosomal RNA
ACGGGAGGCAGCAGUGGGGAAUAUUGGGCAAUGGGCGAAAGCCUGACCCAGCAACGCCGCGUGAAGGAAGAAGGUCUUCGGAUUGUAAACUUCUUUUAUGUGGGACGAACAAAUGACGGUACCACAUGAAUAAGCCACGGCUAACUACGUGCCAGCAGCCGCGGUAAUACGUAGGUGGCAAGCGUUAUCCGGAUUUACUGGGUGUAAAGGGCGCGUAGGCGGGGAAGCAAGUCAGAUGUGAAAUCCAUGGGCUCAACCCAUGAACUGCAUUUGAAACUGUUUCUCUUGAGUGCUGGAGGGGUAAGCGGAAUUCCUAGUGUAGCGGUGAAAUGCGUAGAUAUUAGGAGGAACACCAGUGGCGAAGGCGGCUUACUGGACGGUAACUGACGUUGAGGCUCGAAAGCGUGGGGAGCAAACAGGAUUAGAUACCCUGGUA